UAAACAAAACUAGUACAUGUCUGGAAUCCGACGUCUUUCGGACGUCCCGAAGAAGUCGGUUUUGGGAGCUCUUCGGGACCUCCCUAAACGUACUACAAAUGAAGCUCUCUCGUACGUCGCGCGGGGACCUAGUGUGUGGUGCCAGAGUUCGCCGCCAGAGCGCGCCCUGGUCGCUCGUCCCAAAGUAGUCGGUUCCAGGUCGGUUCUUGGAGCACUUCGGGACGUCCGAAACGGUAGGUCUAUGUGAGGUCUUUGGGAGGUCCCCCACCACACCCGUCGCAGCGUCCUGCGGCCAUGUAGUUCCGAGUGUGUCCGCUAGAGCGCGCCUCGGGCCCACGCGAUGCUCACCUGUUGUGCAGAUGACAGUCGGCGCACUUUGGCGCGCACUGUGCUUGUGGCGUCGGAUCCUUACUUCUAUUUAUUUUUCUGUUAACUAUAGUAAAUUCAUUUCUCCAAAGAAAAGAAACUACGCACGAAGAUGUUCAGUUCUCAGGUGCACCAAUAAGAAGAAUACUUCAAAGCCUGGUGCAGGCUUAUUUCGUGUUUCAAUCCAAAUCAGAAAGUGCCGGUGCUCUUUGCGGAAACCUUGACCCACUGGAGUUGCCCAAGAUUCUGGAACGAUAACCUGCACCACUAUGCAAUUACAUGUGGAACAAGAACUGACUCCUGUGCUUCAGUGUCAAAUUAAGUGAAUUUCCUGCCACAGAGCAAAGUAAGCAUGACACCUUGGAAUCAGUGCUAAUUGAAUUUCUUUCAGUCAUUUUGGCUUAUUUUUUAUCAAGGGGUGUUACAGUUAUGGUUGCUGUAUUUUCUUUUCAGUCCAACUGAGAUUCCUCUUUUAAAUAUUUUGUUUUUGAGUCCUGUCCACCAUUUUUGUCUCCAUAUUUUCUGUUGUUCGUGACAAGUCCUAUCGUUUGAUUUUUAAUUUAAAAAGGUCAGUGAAUAAAUACAUUUUUCCUAACAGUU
Thrips palmi is the source of this 966-nucleotide long non-coding RNA. RefSeq lists it as uncharacterized. The record is from RefSeq and is a predicted model, not a curated record. The transcript is spliced from 2 exons. Lineage: Eukaryota; Metazoa; Arthropoda; Insecta; Thysanoptera; Thripidae.